GACGAACGCUCGCGGCGUGCUUAACACAUGCAAGUCGAACGGAAAGGCCCUGCUUUUGUGGGGUGCUCGAGUGGCGAACGGGUGAGUAACACGUGAGUAACCUGCCCUUGACUUUGGGAUAACUUCAGGAAACUGGGGCUAAUACCGGAUAGGAGCUCCUGCUGCAUGGUGGGGGUUGGAAAGUUUCGGCGGUUGGGGAUGGACUCGCGGCUUAUCAGCUUGUUGGUGGGGUAGUGGCUUACCAAGGCUUUGACGGGUAGCCGGCCUGAGAGGGUGACCGGCCACAUUGGAACUGAGGUGCGGCCCAGACUCCUACGAGAGGCAGCAGUGGGGAAUAUUGCACUAUGGGCGGAAGCCUGAUGCAGCAACGCCGCGUGCGGGAUGACGGCCUUCGGGUUGUAAACCGCUUUCGCCUGUGACGAAGCGUGAGUGACGGUAAUGGGUAAAGAAGCACCGGCUAACUACGUG
RNAcentral lists this ribosomal RNA (468 nucleotides) under uncultured bacterium. RNAcentral describes it as "partial 16S ribosomal RNA". It matches the Rfam family "Bacterial small subunit ribosomal RNA", at positions 28 to 507 of the family's 1533-position model. The record is from RNAcentral.